RNAcentral lists this non-coding RNA (30 nucleotides) under Rattus norvegicus (Norway rat). Lineage: Eukaryota; Metazoa; Chordata; Mammalia; Rodentia; Muridae. The record is from RNAcentral.
UGCACUUAAUUGGUCCAGAGGAUUGCUACA